AACGUAGGAGGCGAGCGUUAUCCGGAUUUACUGGGCGUAAAGCGCACGCAGGUGGCUCUGCAGGUCGGACAUGAAAGCUCCUGGCUUAACUGGGAGAGGUGGUUCGAAACCGCAGGGGCUUGAGGUUGGGAGAGGGACGUGGAAUUCCCGGUGUAGUGGUGGAAUGCGUAGAUAUCGGGAGGAACACCAGUGGCGCAAGCGGCGUCCUGGCCCACACCUGACGCUGAGGUGCGAAAGCGUGGGUAGCAAACAGG
Molecule: ribosomal RNA, 254 nt
Filed under: uncultured bacterium
Lineage: Bacteria
Description: partial 16S ribosomal RNA
Rfam family: Bacterial small subunit ribosomal RNA
Source: RNAcentral